This 3268-nucleotide long non-coding RNA is filed under the name Equus caballus (horse). Its description in RNAcentral is "lncRNA (ENSECAG00000055163.1)". Lineage: Eukaryota; Metazoa; Chordata; Mammalia; Perissodactyla; Equidae. The record is from RNAcentral.
GGUGCUGCCUUGACGCCGGUUAUCCCAAAGAACACCCCCUUCUCACAUCUCAGCUCUCCGUGCCAGGCUGGAAUUCAAUCUGCCUGGCUUGCUGGGCAGCCCUUCAGAUCUGAGUAGGACUUCGGGCUGCUGCUGUCAAACCCACGGAGAAGAAAAACAAGCCCUGCCUGCCCGGCCCUGGCUGCUGGGCGGCCGAGACCUGCAGCUGCGUAGCCAUCCUGUCGUGAGUGAUGGGCCGUGACCGCUCAGCUGUGCAGGCUCACCACUGAAGAUGCACAUGCAGCCCUUUCUUUUCUUUGCGUGCUUGCAUCUGUUCACUGAGGCAUUCCCCUGGAGCUCAGGGUGGUGCAUUUUUUUUUUUUAGGGGAUUGUCGGUUCCAAGUGCUUCUUGCCGUCUUACAAAGGAAACCUGCUGAAUCAUCAGUGGUGGACAAAUACCGUGGCUGGAGCUGACGUUUGAUGGUGUUCCUGGUGGAGGAGGCCACUGUCCGUUCAACCUUUAGGCCUUCGUGGAGGGGUAAGGGGUCUUAUUAGGAAGGGGAGUAGGUAAGUGGUUGCCUUCUGGGGUCCUCCUAUCAUCCUGCCUUUUUUCCUCCUCCUUCUAGUUAGAGAGAAAAGACCUGAGCUCUUAAAUCAGACAGAUCCAGGUGUGAAAGCUGAUCUUGCCAUUUAGAUGCUGUUCGACAUUGAGAGAGUUACGUAACCUCUCUUUUUUGUCUGCUUUUUUUUUUUAUUUGCCUUUGGAAAUGAAAAUAAUGCUUAAGUCGCAGUGUUGUUGGAAAGAUUGGAUCAGCUCACAGCAUCCACAGGGCUCAGUGACCGUCUCAUUUAGACGUCCUCUUUGAAAACACAAGUGUCCUGUCAAGGAUUCCUACAACGCACUGAGAGCGCAUCAAUGAGCACUUCCCCGUCCCUGAAUGAUAAUUAAAGCAAAGAUUGACAGAAGGAAGUAUCGAGGGGCAAGGGAGAGAGGAUCUCGCAGGAAAUGGGUGAUCGCGCCAAAGACCUUGACUUCCUCACCUCCCAGCUUUGCCUGGGCUCAGGCCUUCAGGGGAAACUACGGUGUAUAGAGAGUUUUCUUUAUCUAAUCCCUUCUAAGGUGGGUACUAGAAACUUUCAGUUUCCGUAUGCAGCCUGCGUUACACUUCUGGACAGUGCUGUCACCGAAUGAGGAUCUCAGAGAUUGUCUAUUGUGACCACCCUGUAGAAACUGGAUGGACCUCAACCCAAAAUUUGGCUCAGAUGUUGAGACUGAUUAUGUCACAUAUCAAGAGGAGAUGAAAAGUGUCUCAUGGAAAGCCACCUUGGAGGACAAGAAGAUUCUUUCUCCAGGAGAUGGUCUUUGUGUUUUGUGGAUCUGCUGGGAAGGAGGAAAUGCUGAAAGCUGGCGGUCAGGUGCUGCCUGGGCCCCCAGGGACUCUGGCUCCUAGAGCAGCCCCAGGCCGACUUGGCUGAUGUUUGCUGACAAGCUGGCUCAGGAAAGUGACUUGAAAAGUAAAUACUAACUCAACACAAAAUGAAAAGGAAACGAAGAGUCUGAAAAAAAACCAAAAACACAAACAAAUCCGUGAGAAGAGAGUGGGCAUUGUGCGCUCCCUCUUUUUGACAUCAAAGUGUCUUUGAAUGGAGCCAGGAAGCUCUCACAUCUUUAAAUCCACGUUUACUUGAGGUUUGAAAACUUCCAAGAGAGGUUAGCAGUCCGGGGACAGAGGGCUCCCACUGCACCACAGGAGCAGAGCUUAAAUGCUUUACAAAGAAAAGGGAACACACUCGUUGGGGUUUGUUUUAAUCCUUCCAGGAGAGUGGUGUGGAGUGUACAGCAUGCAUUUGGAAGCCCGAGUACUUAAACACACAUCUGGGAAGGUUCAGAAUCUUCGCCUGGUUCUCGGUGUCUCUGAAGUGUUAGUAGUCCAGUGUCUUGUUUAUUGUGCCACACAAAAAUAAAUCUGAAUCUGUUUUGAUUUUUCUGAUUCUCUUCCACUCUGGAAGUAGAGCAGCCUUUUUGGUGGAAGUGACUUGCAUAAAGUCUCAAAUAAUUACCAAUUCCAGCUGACACUCGCUGGGACCCUGGAACUCGCUCCAUCUGCUGCCUUCCAGGAAGAACAAAGGAUGGAAGGAGUUGCUGGAGAACCAGAGAAAGAGCGCCUCCUAUAUUAUGGCCAACACAGAGAAUUCCAUAAAGAUUUGCAUGUGGAGUCAGCCCACAAUUGUCUGGCGAAUGGGAGAAGAUAGAUAUGAAAAGGUGAGAUCGACGGGCAGCCAACAAAGGAUGGCUCAGCCCAUCCAAUCAAAAGACGUCAAAGCUAGACCAUGAGGAGGUCGAGGGAACUACUCCAAUAAAAGUUCAUGAAGGCCCUUGUCCAGUUUCCAGACUUGAGCCAGUUUUUGGACAGAACCUGUUGACUGAAGGAAAGGCAGAUUCUCCAGGACGAAGGAACUUGCAACACCACGCAGGUAAAUAUGAUAAUAAUUCCUCGGAUAAUAAUUCCCCAAAGGGCCUCCAAUGGUACUCAGGUAACUGGAUGAAGUUACUCUGGUAACUGCACACCCAAAUAUUUCAAACAGAGUUGGCAGCAGAGUCUCAGUUGACCUUGAUACCCGGGGUCCCUCCCUCUUAGACAGCCUAGGUCCAACAUACAUAGUCCAUUGAGUCCACGGAAGCAUCCAGAGGUCGUUUCCCUGGAACAGACAUACUUGGUAGUUUGUAGAACUGCCGUUUUAUUCCUUGGCUUCUAAGCUAAGGGAUAUUGUGAGGAAAAAGCCAAGUGGAAGCCUUUGGAACUGCUCUCCUCCUAAUGGUCACAUGGGCUAUUACUUUGUUGGCCCUCAAUGAGCCACACCUUCCAAUAGUCACACCUAUGUGUAGUCCCCUCCAGCAUCGACUCUGAGCUUGGGAAAAUGGAUGUGGGCAGGCAUGAUGCAAGCAAAGGCUGAGAAGAGUCUGCACGUGGUGGCUUGUCUUCUUGGAGUGCUUGCUCUGGGGAUCUGUUAGCCAUGGAAAGAAGCUCUAGGUAGCCACAUGAAGAGACGACACGGAAAGAGAGGCCCCAGCCUGCCAGCCCUCCCUGCUAAUGUGCCCACCACAUGAGCGAAGCUGUCUUGGACAUUCCUGCCAUCUGACUGCAUCUGCUUGAGAGACUCCAAGCAAGACCAGCAGAAGAACGAUCCAGUUCAGCCCUGUGAACCCACGCGUUGGUUCUAAGUAAUAAAAUGGUAGCUGUUUUAAUCCCCCACGUUUUGUGGUUAUUUGUUAUUCAGUAACAAGUAG